Molecule: ribosomal RNA, 601 nt
Filed under: Salmonella enterica subsp. enterica serovar Infantis
Lineage: Bacteria; Pseudomonadati; Pseudomonadota; Gammaproteobacteria; Enterobacterales; Enterobacteriaceae
Also listed under: 47 other names
Description: partial 23S ribosomal RNA
Rfam family: Bacterial large subunit ribosomal RNA
Source: RNAcentral
ACCCUUUAAUGUUUGAUGUUCUAACGUGGACCCGUAAUCCGGGUUGCGGACAGUGUCUGGUGGGUAGUUUGACUGGGGCGGUCUCCUCCUAAAGAGUAACGGAGGAGCACGAAGGUUGGCUAAUCCUGGUCGGACAUCAGGAGGUUAGUGCAAUGGCAUAAGCCAGCUUGACUGCGAGCGUGACGGCGCGAGCAGGUGCGAAAGCAGGUCAUAGUGAUCCGGUGGUUCUGAAUGGAAGGGCCAUCGCUCAACGGAUAAAAGGUACUCCGGGGAUAACAGGCUGAUACCGCCCAAGAGUUCAUAUCGACGGCGGUGUUUGGCACCUCGAUGUCGGCUCAUCACAUCCUGGGGCUGAAGUAGGUCCCAAGGGUAUGGCUGUUCGCCAUUUAAAGUGGUACGCGAGCUGGGUUUAGAACGUCGUGAGACAGUUCGGUCCCUAUCUGCCGUGGGCGCUGGAGAACUGAGGGGGGCUGCUCCUAGUACGAGAGGACCGGAGUGGACGCAUCACUGGUGUUCGGGUUGUCAUGCCAAUGGCACUGCCCGGUAGCUAAAUGCGGAAGAGAUAAGUGCUGAAAGCAUCUAAGCACGAAACUUGCCCCGA